GAUGAACGCUAGCUACAGGCUUAACACAUGCAAGUCGAGGGGUAGCAGGGUAGCAAUACCGCUGACGACCGGCGCACGGGUGAGUAACACGUAUCCAACCUUCCCAUAACUCGGGGAUAGCCUUUCGAAAGAAAGAUUAAUACCCGAUAGUACUUAAGAAAGGCAUCUUUUUAAGUUAAAGAUUUAUUGGUUAUGGAUGGGGAUGCGUUCCAUUAGAUAGUUGGUGAGGUAACGGCUCACCAAGUCUUCGAUGGAUAGGGGUUCUGAGAGGAAGGUCCCCCACAUUGGUACUGAGACACGGACCAAACUCCUACGGGAGGCAGCAGUGAGGAAUAUUGGUCAAUGGGCGAGAGCCUGAACCAGCCAAGUAGCGUGAAGGAUGAAGGUCCUAUGGAUUGUAAACUUCUUUUAUAGUAGAAUAAAGUGACCCACGUGUGGGUUUUUGUAUGUAUACUAUGAAUAAGGAUCGGCUAACUCCGUG
This 481-nucleotide ribosomal RNA is filed under the name uncultured bacterium. Its description in RNAcentral is "bacterial SSU rRNA". It matches the Rfam family "Bacterial small subunit ribosomal RNA", at positions 28 to 507 of the family's 1533-position model. The record is from RNAcentral.